AUUGAACGCUGGCGGCAUGCCUUACACAUGCAAGUCGAACGGUAACGCGGGGCAACCUGGCGACGAGUGGCGAACGGGUGAGUAAUGUAUCGGAACGUGCCCAGUUGUGGGGGAUAACUGCUCGAAAGAGCAGCUAAUACCGCAUACGACCUGAGGGUGAAAGCGGGGGAUCGCAAGACCUCGCGCAAUUGGAGCGGCCGAUAUCAGAUUAGGUAGUUGGUGGGGUAAAGGCUCACCAAGUCGACGAUCUGUAGCUGGUCUGAGAGGACGACCGGCCACACUGGGACUGAGACACGGCCCAGACUCCUACGGGAGGCAGCAGUGGGGAAUUUUGGACAAUGGACGCAAGUCUGAUCCAGCCAUGCCGCGUGCGGGAAGAAGGCCUUCGGGUUGUAAACCGCUUUUGUCAGGGAAGAAAAGGCUCCUUCUAAUAUAGGGGGCUCAUGACGGUACCGUAAGAAUAAGCACCGGCUAACUACGUGCCAGCAGCCGCCGUAA
RNAcentral lists this ribosomal RNA (498 nucleotides) under uncultured bacterium. RNAcentral's name for it is "partial 16S ribosomal RNA". It matches the Rfam family "Bacterial small subunit ribosomal RNA", at positions 30 to 523 of the family's 1533-position model. The record is from RNAcentral.